CGUAGCCAUUGUUACCGCCUUUUCCCUCGGCGAGCGCGGCGGGGUUGGGAUUGUGAAUGGCGGUCGCAAUGCGGGAGGCCGGGCCUGGCGAGCGGUGGGGACCUUCCUUCCCUCGUGGAGGUGUCUCCCAGUCCGCAGGGCCGGCUGGGCCGGGUCCCACGCGUGCAGGGGGCGAUGGGGGUGAUGGGGGCCGCGGACCCGGGCACGCGGCGCUAGGGCCCCGCAGGCCCGGCCGUGGCGGUGAGGACCGCACUGGGGCUCCUGGAGCGGCUGCCCGGAGAAAGAUGUCUUGAAGUAAAAAGGCCUGGUCUCAAUGUAACACAGAGUCGGGACAGGGGAGAGGUCAGGUCACUCUUUAGGGAUGGCCAUGCUGUGAAGCUCUUCAAGUCCUGCAGCAGGCAGUGAGACAGCGAAAGCAGGAAAUUCUCCUGGGUGUUUAUGCUGAAAACAUGUUGUCUGAGGAGAAGGAAUCCGGUAAAACACAUGUGAGCUCGGGGACUGUAGAGACUACAUUUUUCUGCCCUAAAAUGUUAAAAAAUCUGAAGUUACACAUUUUUGAUUAUACAUUUAUUAAAACUGUCUGGAAAAAUG
Long non-coding RNA from Cuculus canorus (common cuckoo), 591 nucleotides. RefSeq lists it as uncharacterized. The transcript is spliced from 5 exons. Lineage: Eukaryota; Metazoa; Chordata; Aves; Cuculiformes; Cuculidae. The record is from RefSeq and is a predicted model, not a curated record.